GUCCACGCCCUAAACGAUGCUGACUAGUUGUUCGGGAUUUACAUCCUGAGUAACGUAGCUAACGCGUGAAGUCAGCCGCCUGUGGAGUACGGUCGCAAGAUUAAAACUCAAAGGAAUUGACGGGGACCCCGCACAAGCGGUGGAUGAUGUGGAUUAAUUCGAUGCAACGCGAAAAACCUUACCUACCCUUGACAUGUCACUAACGAAGUAGAGAUACAUUAGGUGCUCGUAAGAGAAAGUGAACACAGGUGCUGCAUGGCUGUCGU
Molecule: ribosomal RNA, 266 nt
Filed under: uncultured bacterium
Lineage: Bacteria
Description: partial 16S ribosomal RNA
Rfam family: Bacterial small subunit ribosomal RNA
Source: RNAcentral